AUCCAUUUAGUAGCCUCUUAUGGUUAUCAGUGAUAUGACCGUUUGUUCUAUUUGAUACUUCUACAGUGAUUCACUACAAAGUUAUUUGGCGACAUCAAAUACAGCGAACGUGCCCUGUAACUUUUCCCUGGAGGAGUAUGCCUGUGCAUCGGUGAGAUUUUUCCACUAUGGCCGUGAUUCUAGUGUAUGAGAGACAAAGAGAUGCUGUAGAGAUACCAAGGUAGAGAACAUCCUCUACAUGUAUUCAUUCAUUGACUCCAUGUCAUCUGCUCUUCUCUCUCAAAGCUGACAAACUUCACUGCAGAACACCUGGUGUCUCUUCUGAAAUGUAAACUGCCUGGCAACUCUUCUCACUCUAAAGAGACCUGGAAGGUUCUCCUCACCAAACUGACCUCUGUCUUAGACCAAGCUCUGGACAUGUUCUCCAAUAUGUCCAAACCUGUGAUUGGCCCUGCAGUAUCCCAGGCACUGGAUGUGAUUGGAGAGAUCCGGGUCAACAGGCUGACUGAGGAUCAGCUGAGAGACAGUGAUGUCAUCAGGAAGUGGUUCUCUGGGCGUCUGAGACUGUUCCUGCCGUCUGCAUCAGGAGGGUUUCUGCACUGCCUCAGCACCAAGAACCUAAGCUGUGACACAUAUCAACAGAUACUGAGGGAGUUCAGCAAUCAAUUUGACCAAAUGGACCAGAUGAGACAAGAGCUGGUGGUCAAAUACUUCAUCCAGCCCUUCCUGACCAAAAACUCCUCAGACUCUGGCUGUGUGUCCAACUCUAACAGCAGUGUGGACUGGCUGCAGAAGAACUUGGGGCGGUUUUCAGUCCUGCUGUCCCUCAGCGACCUGUUGAAACUCAACACAGACUUCUCUCCGUUGUCAGUCCUGGAGGUUCUCUCUCCAAAGCAGACAGCAGAACUGGUGGUGUUGCCUCUUCCUGGUCCUCCAGAGAAAGCUGUCAUCAUCAACACAGUGUUUGACUACCUGACUGAGUCACCAAAGGAGAGGAGACUCCCUGAGUUCCUGCAACAACUUGUCAACCUGACCAAACAGGAAAAUAUCCCUUGUGCCUCCUACAAGAUCAUUUUCACCAGACUGGACGAGGCCGUACCCACUGUUACCAUGGAGAUAGAGUCAGCCUUCACCUCCAGCAAGACGGCUUUACUACAGACCGUCCCAUCAGGUUGCAUUGUAUACAGUGGAGAGUGCAAUGUCACCCCAGUUAAUGAGACAAAAGUUUGUGCUGGUGUCGACAGCACUGCUCUACAGGGUCACCUUGACAACGGGCAGAUCAGCGGAGUCCUCUGUGAUUUCAACGUCGAUGUUUACGCUUGUGGCUCGCUGUCUGUGUUGACAUCAGAUAACUUGGUGAGCCUGUUAAAGUGUAAGCUGUCUGGAAACACCAGCCACUCAGCACAGAUCUGGAAACUGUUCUUCUCUAAGGUCUCAGUGGUUCUGGACUCAGCCCUGGAUCUCUUCUCCAACACCGUGAGAUAAAACUCUUAUCUAUUCAUAUCAUGCUUAUACUGUACAUAUAAACUUACUGAUUAAUUAUUACAGUAUGUAGGUCCCCUCUUAUACUGU
Molecule: long non-coding RNA, 1572 nt
Organism: Salmo trutta (river trout)
Lineage: Eukaryota; Metazoa; Chordata; Actinopteri; Salmoniformes; Salmonidae
Source: Ensembl